Molecule: transfer RNA, 31 nt
Filed under: Sabatia calycina
Lineage: Eukaryota; Viridiplantae; Streptophyta; Magnoliopsida; Gentianales; Gentianaceae
Description: partial tRNA-Ser
Source: RNAcentral
CCGUCGCUUUAGUCCACUCANCCAUCUCUCC